RNAcentral lists this transfer RNA (73 nucleotides) under Camelus ferus (Wild Bactrian camel). It matches the Rfam family "tRNA". Rfam says of the family: Transfer RNA (tRNA) molecules are approximately 80 nucleotides in length. Their secondary structure includes four short double-helical elements and three loops (D, anti-codon, and T loops). The record is from Rfam by way of RNAcentral. Lineage: Eukaryota; Metazoa; Chordata; Mammalia; Artiodactyla; Camelidae.
GAAGACAUAGCUCAGUUGGCAGAGCACAUGCUUAGGAUGUACGAGGUCCUGGGUUCAAUCCCCAGUACCUCCA